RNAcentral lists this ribosomal RNA (492 nucleotides) under uncultured bacterium. RNAcentral's name for it is "partial 16S ribosomal RNA". It matches the Rfam family "Bacterial small subunit ribosomal RNA", at positions 29 to 507 of the family's 1533-position model. The record is from RNAcentral.
AGUGAACGCUGGCGGUAGGCCUAACACAUGCAAGUCGAACGGCAGCACAGUAAGAGCUUGCUCUUACGGGUGGCGAGUGGCGGACGGGUGAGGAAUACAUCGGAAUCUACUUUUUCGUGGGGGAUAAUGUAGGGAAACUUACGCUAAUACCGCAUACGACCUACGGGUGAAGGCAGGGGAUCUUCGGCCCUGGCGCGAUUGAAUGAGCCGAUGUCGGAUUAGCUAGUUGGCGGGGUAAAGGCCCACCAAGGCGACGAUCCGUAGCUGGUCUGAGAGGAUGAUCAGCCACACUGGAACUGAGACACGGUCCAGACUCCUACGGGAGGCCGCAGUGGGGAAUAUUGGACAAUGGGCGCAAGCCUGAUCCAGCCAUACCGCGUGGGUGAAGAAGGCCUUCGGGUUGUAAAGCCCUUUUGUUGGGAAAGAAAAGCAGCAGGUUAAUACCCCGCUGUUCUGACGGUACCCAAAGAAUAAGCACCGGCUAACUUCGUG